This 491-nucleotide ribosomal RNA is filed under the name uncultured bacterium. RNAcentral's name for it is "bacterial SSU rRNA". It matches the Rfam family "Bacterial small subunit ribosomal RNA", at positions 1 to 477 of the family's 1533-position model. The record is from RNAcentral.
UGAGGCGCGCCGAGUUUGAUCCUGGCUCAGAACGAACGCUGGCGGCGUGCUUAACACAUGCAAGUCGAACGCGAACGGGUUCUUCGGAACCUUAGUAGAGUGGCGCACGGGUGAGUAACGCGUAAGUAAUCUACCCUGGUGUCUGGAAUAACUCACCGAAAGGUGUGCUAAUACCGGAUACGUUGGUUUACCAAGAAAGGUGGCCUCUACAUGUAAGCUACUGUUUGAAGAUGAGCCCGCGUACCAUUAGCUUGUUGGUGGGGUAACGGCCUACCAAGGCUUCGAUGGUUAGCUGGUCUGAGAGGAUGAUCAGCCACACUGGAACUGACACACGGUCCAGACUCCUACGGGAGGCAGCAGUGAGGAAUUUUGCGCAAUGGGGGCAACCCUGACGCAGCGACGCCGCGUGGAUGAUGAAGGCCUUCGGGUCGUAAAAUCCUGUCAGAUGGAAAGAAAUGUCACAUGCCUAAUAUGUGUGUGAUUUGACGGUA